AUGAGAAGAAGAAAGCUGUCUUCAAACAGACAUCAGAAGUCCUUAUCCGCAGUGCUUGGGAAAGGUGACUUGGAACUGAGAGCAAUAUCCCCUCUGGCCUUUCACCUCAUUCUUGAUGAGCACAGAUAGGGACCUCCUAGUUUUCUGCUUCUGCUAAGUUAUGGAGUCUUCCAUUAUUGCAAUGUCCUGAACCUGGCAUUCACCUGAAGUUCCUCCACAACAAUAAUCUCAUGACCCAUCUUGGAGUCCAGAGAUCUAGUAAUAUGCCAUCAUCAUCACAUCUCUAGUAGGCCCUGUGUAAUAUUUAUUGGGAAAAGACUGGGGAAAUGAAAAACUGGGGGAUAACAGAAGGUUUGUUGUGGGGUAUGGAGGAGUUGAGGGGAGAGAAGGAAUAUUGCUCGGUGAGACAAAGGAGAGAAAUGCUUCCUGCAGAGGAAGCAGCAGGGGUCUGAUAAGGACUGUUUGUCAUUGAAUGACUAAACUGAUGUUCAGCUCCCUCUAUGCCCAGAAAAGAUAGUCCACUUAUCUGACGGCGAAUUCAAAUAACAUAAAGUUCAAUAACCAGUUGAGGCUGGAGAGAUAUCAGGAAGGAGGGGCAAGGGAGGUCCCUAAAUAAGGUUGGAGUCUGUCUCAGCUUUUAGAGCUGAGGCCAGGCCUCACUGGCUGGAGGAGGGUUUCUCCCAAUCCUGUCCUCUGUGCUAAUUUUGUCAAAUUCAGAAUCUUAGCAGUAGACAGAAAGUAAACAAGAACAAUUCUAACCUUCAGAAGACUGUGUCUUCGGGCUGAACAGAGUAGAGGUGC
RNAcentral lists this long non-coding RNA (801 nucleotides) under Monodelphis domestica (gray short-tailed opossum). RNAcentral describes it as "lncRNA (ENSMODG00000032042.2)". Lineage: Eukaryota; Metazoa; Chordata; Mammalia; Didelphimorphia; Didelphidae. The record is from RNAcentral.